This 164-nucleotide ribosomal RNA is filed under the name Elymus nakaii. RNAcentral's name for it is "5.8S ribosomal RNA". It matches the Rfam family "5.8S ribosomal RNA". From Rfam's summary of the family: 5.8S ribosomal RNA (5.8S rRNA) is a component of the large subunit of the eukaryotic ribosome. Lineage: Eukaryota; Viridiplantae; Streptophyta; Magnoliopsida; Poales; Poaceae. The record is from RNAcentral.
CACACGACUCUCGGCAACGGAUAUCUCGGCUCUCGCAUCGAUGAAGAACGUAGCGAAAUGCAAUACCUGGUGUGAAUUGCAGAAUCCCGCGAACCAUCGAGUCUUUGAACGCAAGUUGCGCCCGAGGCCACUCGGCCGAGGGCACGCCUGCCUGGGCGUCACGC